Molecule: ribosomal RNA, 471 nt
Filed under: uncultured bacterium
Lineage: Bacteria
Description: bacterial SSU rRNA
Rfam family: Bacterial small subunit ribosomal RNA
Source: RNAcentral
ACUCCUACGGGAGGCAGCAGUGGGGAAUAUUGCACAAUGGGGGAAACCCUGAUGCAGCCAUGCCGCGUGUGUGAAGAAGGCCUUCGGGUUGUAAAGCACUUUCAGUAGGGAGGAAGGUAGUGUAGUUAACACCUGCAUUAUUUGACGUUACCUACAGAAGAAGCACCGGCUAACUCCGUGCCAGCAGCCGCGGUAAUACGGAGGGUGCGAGCGUUAAUCGGAAUUACUGGGCGUAAAGCGCAUGCAGGCGGCCUGUUAAGUCAGAUGUGAAAGCCCGGGGGCUUAACCUCGGAAUUGCAUUUGAAACUGGCAGGCUAGAGUCUUGUAGAGGGGGGUAGAAUUUCAGGUGUAGCGGUGAAAUGCGUAGAGAUCUGAAGGAAUACCAGUGGCGAAGGCGGCCCCCUGGACAAAGACUGACGCUCAGAUGCGAAAGCGUGGGGAGCAAACAGGAUUAGAUACCCUGGUAGCGUA